CGGCAGCACGGGAGCAAUCCUGGUGGCGAGUGGCGAACGGGUGAGUAAUACAUCGGAACGUGUCCUGUAGUGGGGGAUAGCCCGGCGAAAGCCGGAUUAAUACCGCAUACGCUCUACGGAGGAAAGGGGGGGAUCUCAGGACCUCUCGCUACAGGGGCGGCCGAUGGCAGAUUAGCUAGUUGGUGGGGUAAAGGCCUACCAAGGCGACGAUCUGUAGCUGGUCUGAGAGGACGACCAGCCACACUGGGACUGAGACACGGCCCAGACUCCUACGGGAGGCAGCAGUGGGGAAUUUUGGACAAUGGGCGCAAGCCUGAUCCAGCAAUGCCGCGUGUGUGAAGAAGGCCUUCGGGUUGUAAAGCACUUUUGUCCGGAAAGAAAUCCUUUGAGCUAAUACCUCGGGGGGAUGACGGUACCGGAAGAAUAAGCACCGGCUAACUACGUGCCAGCAGCCGCGGUAAUACGUAGGGUGCAAGCGUUAAUCGGAAUUACUGGGCGUAAAGCGUGCGCAGGCGGUUCGCUAAGACAGAUGUGAAAUCCCCGGGCUUAACCUGGGAACUGCAUUUGUGACUGGCGGGCUAGAGUAUGGCAGAGGGGGGUAGAAUUCCACGUGUAGCAGUGAAAUGCGUAGAGAUGUGGAGGA
This 643-nucleotide ribosomal RNA is filed under the name uncultured Burkholderia sp. RNAcentral's name for it is "bacterial SSU rRNA". It matches the Rfam family "Bacterial small subunit ribosomal RNA", at positions 67 to 705 of the family's 1533-position model. Lineage: Bacteria; Pseudomonadati; Pseudomonadota; Betaproteobacteria; Burkholderiales; Burkholderiaceae. The record is from RNAcentral.